GUCCACGCCGUAAACGAUGUGUGUUUGGCGCUGGGGAGUUUACUCUUCGGUGCCGUAGCUAACGCGUUAAGCACACCGCCUGGGAAGUACGGCCGCAAGGUUAAAACUCAAAGGAAUUGACGGGGACCCGCACAAGCGGUGGAGUAUGUGGUUUAAUUCGUCGCAACGCGAAGAACCUUACCAGGCCUUGACAUACCGGUUAAGAAGGGCAGAGAUGCCUUUCGUCAGUUCGGCUGGACCGGAUACAGGUGCUGCAUGGCUGUCGU
RNAcentral lists this ribosomal RNA (266 nucleotides) under uncultured bacterium. RNAcentral describes it as "partial 16S ribosomal RNA". It matches the Rfam family "Bacterial small subunit ribosomal RNA", at positions 793 to 1055 of the family's 1533-position model. The record is from RNAcentral.